GGGAUAUAAAUUUGAUUUGGAUUUUCAUAUUUUGCCAUAUGGUUCUCAAUUGGCAUUGUUUAAUCUGCUGUGGCGGCAAGCAUACUGUGCUAAAACAAGACAUAUGGAGCCCUUUUGCAGUAAAGGAAGAAAGAACAGAAGCAGAUGUCUGAACCAUUUAGGUAAGGAACCCCACUGUAGCUAAAAUACUGACCAAUGCGGCAUCCAUGGUCCCCUUGGUGCGGGAUAAGCUGAUUUCACUGAGACGAAGAACAAGCACCACCAAAGCACUGAAAAGUAAGCCUCUAGGUAGGACUUAACUUUUCUGAGAAAUUUCUUUAGACUCAUUACAGUGAAGACUCUCCUGGAGAAGUGUGAUUCUCAUGAUGAGUGAAUCCAGCUGCACGUGGGAUCGGACGCGCAGACCUGCCAGCCCAGUGAGUCGCCAUCAUGAAGGGUCCAAGUUUAGACAGCGUACUCGCAGAGUGACAAAAGACAGGGACUCCCGCUGGGCUAAAGAGGACUCAUCUCAAACUCCAAGCCACCCCACAUCCUAACUUCACCUUUUGGGCCCAUCUACAUUACCGUCACAUUGAGCUCUUUCCACGUCCCCACGUGAAAAACAGAGACAGUAGUAAGUGUACGUAACAGGGUUAAAUAAGGAUUACAUGAGAUUAUAUUUGUAAAACACUGAACACACUGUUGGCAUAUUGUAAGCCCUUGAUAUUUGUGAGACAUAUUUUUACUGUCAUCUUUGACAUACAUAAUUAUGUAUCAAGUACAAACAAACAACAUUCAAUAUUUUAAAAAAGUUUCAGCUGUUGAUACUUCCAAAUGAUUAAAAUAUGAAUGAAAUUUCAUCAAAAACUGGAGUCCUGCUAUUGUGGUAGAGGAGAUAAAAGGAGAAAAAGGAAAUUCUGUUUUGUUUUGACAAAAGACAAGGCAGUCAUUUCCAUAAAUAUUCAACAACUAACACUGAGUAUGUGAACAUUUCAAAAUGUCACUGCCUUUUAGUAAUACUUAUACUCAUUUAUUGUAUAGCACUAACUUUUCAAGGAGCCCUGUUUGCCNNNNNNNNNNNNNNNN
This 1065-nucleotide long non-coding RNA is filed under the name Mustela putorius furo (domestic ferret). RNAcentral describes it as "lncRNA (ENSMPUG00000030149.1)". Lineage: Eukaryota; Metazoa; Chordata; Mammalia; Carnivora; Mustelidae. The record is from RNAcentral.